AUGUGGGAGGAGGGACUACAGCCUCCCCGUCUUUCACUUCCUAGAAACGCGCGUAGAUACUGCGACCUUUCGGCCUGUGAUUGGACGAAACGUGCGUCCGUCAUUCGCGAAAGAGGACGUACGUGGACCUCAGGUGCCGCGUGGCAGAUGGGAAAUGUAGUCCUCUACGGUUUAACUUCCAGCGAGUUAGUCCCUGUGCUUCUGGUGACCAGCAGCAGUUCUUCCCCACAGUGUCCAGCCCUCAGGAUGUUAACACUGCAGCGUCUGGUUUCUUUGGUCAGUCUUCACACAGCUUGGCAGUUCCAACCUUACUGUAUGUUAAACAAAAUUCCAUGGAAGGACCCAUCGAACUGAAGGACUCUUCUGAAGAAGUUGAUGACAUUCUCAAACCCACAGUAGACCUGUGUGGGUAUAUCUCUGUGUUCCAUUAAGAGCAGGACAGGUUGUGUUGUUUUAUCAGGCUGCAUGUCAUCAGCAGCCGGAGGCUCUCUCCCUACAUCACUUCCACUGUGACCAAAGGAUUUGGCUUGAGGUUUAAUCAAAAGAAAAGAAUAUUUGUUAAUUUUUUCCAUUUCUUAAAAAAAUAUAUAUUUGCGCUGU
This 600-nucleotide long non-coding RNA is filed under the name Astyanax mexicanus (Mexican tetra). RNAcentral describes it as "lncRNA (ENSAMXG00005000375.1)". The record is from RNAcentral. Lineage: Eukaryota; Metazoa; Chordata; Actinopteri; Characiformes; Acestrorhamphidae.